This 412-nucleotide ribosomal RNA is filed under the name uncultured bacterium. RNAcentral describes it as "bacterial SSU rRNA". It matches the Rfam family "Bacterial small subunit ribosomal RNA", at positions 355 to 775 of the family's 1533-position model. The record is from RNAcentral.
UCGAGGAUCUUCGGCAAUGGGCGCAAGCCUGACCGAGCGACGCCGCGUGUGCGAUGAAGGCCUUCGGGUUGUAAAGCACUGUCGAGGGGGAGGAAAGCCGUAAGGUCUGACCUAUCCCUGGAGGAAGCACGGGCUAAGUUCGUGCCAGCAGCCGCGGUAAGACGAACCGUGCGAACGUUGUUCGGAAUCACUGGGCUUAAAGGGCGCGUAGGCGGGUCCGCAAGUCCGGGGUGAAAGCCCCCAGCUCAACUGGGGAAGUGCCUUGGAAACUGCGGGUCUAGAGCGAGGUAGGGGCAUGUGGAACUUCGGGUGGAGCGGUGAAAUGCGUUGAUAUCCGAAGGAACGCCGGUGGCGAAAGCGACGUGCUGGACCUCUUCUGACGCUGAGGCGCGAAAGCCAGGGUAGCGAACGG